GUUAGCUGUCCCUGCUGCAGCUAAUCCUUUGCAAUCAAGACCUCCUCACCUGGUGAUGAACUUUCAGACACCUGUGUACUACAGCUUCUAAUCAGUGUCUCCAUCUCACUGCCAGUGAUUCCACCAACCACCAGCCAGCUCACCAUCAUUUGCAAUGUUGUUGUCAAAUAAACUUCUUUAACCUGA
This is a long non-coding RNA of Cheilinus undulatus (humphead wrasse), 186 nucleotides long. RefSeq lists it as uncharacterized. The record is from RefSeq and is a predicted model, not a curated record. NCBI's taxonomy places the organism in Eukaryota, Metazoa, Chordata, Actinopteri, Labriformes, Labridae. The transcript is spliced from 2 exons.